GACUACAUGAAGCCGGAAUCGCUAGUAAUCGCGGAUCAGAAUGCCGCGGUGAAUACGUUCCCGGGUCUUGUACACACCGCCCGUCACACCAUGGGAGUUGGAAAUGCCCGAAGUCAGUGGCCCAACCGGAAGGGGGAGCUGCCGAAGGCAGGUUCGAUGACUGGGGUGAAGUCGUAACAAGGUACC
This 186-nucleotide ribosomal RNA is filed under the name uncultured bacterium. RNAcentral describes it as "partial 16S ribosomal RNA". It matches the Rfam family "Bacterial small subunit ribosomal RNA", at positions 1314 to 1500 of the family's 1533-position model. The record is from RNAcentral.